This 848-nucleotide ribosomal RNA is filed under the name uncultured bacterium. Its description in RNAcentral is "bacterial SSU rRNA". It matches the Rfam family "Bacterial small subunit ribosomal RNA", at positions 97 to 980 of the family's 1533-position model. The record is from RNAcentral.
GGGGGACGGGUGACUAACGCGUGGGAACCUGCCUUCUGGUCUGGAAUAACCCUGGGAAACUAGGGGGUGAUACCGGAUACGCCCUUUUGGGGAAAGGGGGACUGCGCGGAGAUCGGCCCGCGUCUGAUUAGCUAGUUGGUGGGGUAACGGCCUACCAAGGCGACGAUCAAUAGCUGGUCUGAGAGGAUGAUCAGCCACACUGGGACUGAGACACGGCCCAGACUCCUACGGGAGGCAGCAGUGGGGAAUAUUGGACAAUGGGCGCAAGCCUGAUCCAGCCAUGCCGCGUGAGUGAUGAAGGCCUUAGGGUUGUAAAGCUCUUUUAUCCGGGACGAUAAUGACGGUACCGGAGGAAUAAGCCCCGGCUAACUUCGUGCCAGCAGCCGCGGUAAUACGAAGGGGGCUAGCGUUGCUCGGAAUCACUGGGCGUAAAGGGCGCGUAGGCGGCGUUUUAAGUCGGGGGUGAAAGCCUGUGGCUCAACCACAGAAUGGCCUUCGAUACUGGGACGCUUGAGUAUGGUAGAGGUUGGUGGAACUGCGAGUGUAGAGGUGAAAUUCGUAGAUAUUCGCAAGAACACCGGUGGCGAAGGCGGCCAACUGGACCAUUACUGACGCUGAGGCGCGAAAGCGUGGGGAGCAAACGGGAUUAGAUACCCUGGUAGUCCACGCCGUAAACGAUGAAAUGCCAGCUGUUGGGGUGCUUGCCCCGGAGUAGCGCAGCUAACGCUUUGAGCAUUCGGCCUGGGGGGUACGGGGCAAGAUUAAAACUCAAAGGAAUUGACGGGGCCCCGACAAGCGGGGGAGCAUGGUGGUUAAUUCCAAACCACCCCGCCAAACCCUACCUCCUU